This 1745-nucleotide unclassified non-coding RNA is filed under the name Hevea brasiliensis (rubber tree). The record is from RNAcentral. Lineage: Eukaryota; Viridiplantae; Streptophyta; Magnoliopsida; Malpighiales; Euphorbiaceae.
AACAUCAAGGCUCGUAAUUUCACUUUCCAAAAUCCAAGAAAAAGAAUGGAACGGCACGCCCAAUCAGUAGAAGCAAGGGCAGUAGAUAUGCGACCAAGCAACUCUGAGGUUCCACAGGAACAAGUGCCUGGUCAAUUGGAGGGGAAAAGCACUGAUUACAAGCAAGAAAAAAGAAAGUCCCUGCGAGCUCGUUUUAUAUAUGGCAUAAUCUUCUUGAUCAUAAAUCUUAAAGCUUGGUUCUUUCGUGACUAUGGACAGAAGGUUCUAGCUCAGUUCAGUUAUAUAAAAGCUUGUGGACCUGAGGGACAAGAUUGCUGUCAUACAUUGGGAGUUCUUCGUGUGAGUUUAGGAUGCUUUAUAUUUUUCUGUGUUAUGCUAGUCACCACAAUAAAAACAAGAAAAUUAUACGAGGCUCGCAGCACUUGGCAUUCAGGAUGGUGGUCGUUGAAGUUUUUCCUAUUGAUUGUAUCAAUGGCAGUUUCUUUUUUCUUCCCAUCAAAGUAUAUUCAAAUAUAUGGCGAAGUUGCUCGUAUUGGUGCAGGGUAAUCUUUGAAUCCUUUUUAUGUGCUUCUGUAUGAGCCAGUGAAAAUCUGAACAUAUAAUACCACAGUUGUUUUCUUGUUUGAUUCCUGCUAUAUAUCAGAAAAGACAUUGCAUAAAGUAAUGAAUAUUAAAUUUCAAUUAUGGGAUUCAAAUGUUUCAUUACCAGUAAAAUUUACAUUUGUGCUUCUGUGCACCAGUAUUUUUCUUGUUCUCCAACUUGUAAGUAUCAUCGAGUUCAUCACAUGUUGGAAUAACUACUGGAUGCCUGAUAAGGAAAUGAAGGAAAGUUGCUCCCUUGGAUUGUUCACUUCAAAAAUCUUUUACGUUGCUUCUGUAUGUGGAAUUGGGUUGAUGUACUUUUUCUAUGGACGAAGCCUCAAAUGUUCUCUCAACAUAUUCUUCAUUACGUGGACUGCAAUUUUGCUUACAGUGAUGAUGGCUAUAUCUUUACAUUCAAAGGUCAAUACAGGUCUUUUAUCUUCUGGGAUUAUGGCUUCGUACCUUGUCUUUCUCUGUUGGUCUGCUAUAAGAAGUGAACCUGUGAAUGACCAAUGCAACAAACAAAACCAAGCAGAUGGAAAUAGUGAUUGGACAACUAUACUAAGCUUCCUAAUUGCAAUAUGUGCCAUUGUCAUGGCAACCUUUUCCACUGGAAUUGAUUCACAAUUUCAGUUCCGCAAAGAUAAAGUUCAACAGGAGGAUGAUAUCCCUUAUGACUAUGGUUUUUUCCAUCUGGUAUUUGCGUUGGGUGCUAUGUACUUUGCCAUGUUAUUCAUCAGUUGGAACCUCAACAACUCAGCAAGAAAGUGGAGUAUUGAUGUUGGCUGGACAAGUACAUGGGUGAAAAUUGUGAAUGAGUGGUUUGCAGCCACAAUAUAUUUAUGGAAAUUGAUUUCCCCAGUUGUGAGAGAGCCUAAGGUCAUGGAUCUAGAGGGAUCCAAUGCAGCAGAAGGAUGAAAAUACACUGAACAGAGAAGAAGAAAAUUUUCACCAGCAAAUCACCAUCAUCAUGGAGAAAAAUCAGUCACAUUUGCAGCACAUGGAAGAUAAAUAUCAUUCAAAAAGAUAUAUGCCAAGUACAAUAAGAAUAUAAUGUUUUAAGAUGGAUAACUCUAUCAAGCUUUCAGCUUCAAUUAUUUUUCUUUCUUGUUCAAAGCAAAGGAUAUGUCGUUGCAUGAUUUUUGAUGCAGUUGCACCUGCCA